RNAcentral lists this long non-coding RNA (371 nucleotides) under Manihot esculenta (cassava). RNAcentral describes it as "long non-coding RNA (MESC_LNC010637)". Lineage: Eukaryota; Viridiplantae; Streptophyta; Magnoliopsida; Malpighiales; Euphorbiaceae. The record is from RNAcentral.
UUCAUUCUUUCAUGCUCUUAAUUUAUUCCCUUGUUUUUUUUCCCUCUCGUUUUUCUCAUGCUGAUAAAUAAUAAUUUAUUAUUUUUAUUAUUAUUAUUAAGAUAUUAGCUUGUUGGAAGUUUGAUCUCGUAAUGAAGCAUUAUGUUUACGACUGUACUGAAAUCUUUGAUUUGGGACUUAACUCCAUUUAUGUCUCUUUGCUUGUGUUUUGGAUUGGGUAUGCUAAUGAGUUGUGUUUUGGAUUGGGUAUGCUAAUGAGUUGUGUUUUGGAUUGGGUAGGCAAUGAGUGAUGACACAACAUUUGGAUACCCUUUUAACUGUAAAAGUAACAAAAUGUUCUCCACAUGCCAGAGGAAAGUAUUUGACACAGG